AGGUGGUUUGUGUUAGUUUGGGAAACUAGCUUGAAGCAGCCUAAGGCAAAUUUACUGUUUCUGUUCUCCAGAAAUAAGGCUCGCAAAGUGAAGAAGUAGUGGAGGAAUAGGAGUUGUAGUUGACGAGAAGACUAGUAAACAAAAUGGCUUAGAAAAGCAAAAGGCACUUAUUUAUCCACAACAGUCUUUUAUUUCUUGCUUCAGAAAAGAAUAGAAUCUGGCAUUACAAGAUUGAAUUGUUCUUUAUCACUGGUGAUGGGACUGCACCUUGAAUCUCAGCUGAGGUCAGCAACCAGUUUAAGGGUGAUGCAUCAUCAGCUGAAACGCUUAUCAUUUAGGACAGAGCCUGUGGGAGAGAGAGCAUAAAUCUCUCUGAGAAUAAGAAAAGUGUCGUUGCCACCAAAAUAAUCCACUUUUGAUUUGGGCCCUACCUAUCGCUUUCUUCAGUACUCUUCACCGUAUGUGGACAGAUUACUUCUAAGAACUGGGAAUGAAAGAAGGAGAGAUUCAGCAAAGAUUCGCUCUUCCUAGCAGCCUACCUAUAAUUCUCUUUGGAGAACACAUACAAGAUUUACAAGAGAAAAUAUAACACAAUAAGAGCAAUAAUAUGGGAUGAAACACAGGAAACCUGUUGCAGAUGGCCUUCUGGAAGGCAUUACAAGGAAAUUUAAUUUCUGCUGAAAAUAAAUCAGUAUUAAAGCAAAAUGGGACCAAGUAAAAA
Molecule: long non-coding RNA, 721 nt
Organism: Crotalus tigris (Tiger rattlesnake)
Lineage: Eukaryota; Metazoa; Chordata; Lepidosauria; Squamata; Viperidae
Exons: 6
Source: RefSeq, a predicted model, not a curated record